CAUUUCUUUGCAAACCUUACCAUGCUAUAUAAACUAUAGCUAUGUUCUCUUGAGGUGCAUAUAUAGAGUUAUUUAAAUAUAUUAUUUAUUAUUGUCAAAUGAGACACUAUUUGUAAAGUAUAUAGCAGAGAGCUUGGCUUAUAGCAGGCACUUAAAUGUUUAUUCCUUUCCUUUUCCCUCCCUAGUAUACAGUAAUAUCCCUGGCAGGGAUAGCAAUAACAACUGUGGAGGAUUGGGCAGGACUAUGCUGGCCUAGGAGGAGAAACCUCACC
This 272-nucleotide long non-coding RNA is filed under the name Phascolarctos cinereus (koala). RNAcentral describes it as "lncRNA (ENSPCIG00000006863.2)". Lineage: Eukaryota; Metazoa; Chordata; Mammalia; Diprotodontia; Phascolarctidae. The record is from RNAcentral.